CUAUAUAAAUAAAAUUUAAUUCAAUUGAAUUGUCUCUGAUCUCGGAAGCUAAGCAGAAGAAGGCUUGGUUAGUAUUGGCUGGGAGACCAACUGGGGACACCAGGUGUCUUUUGGC
This 115-nucleotide ribosomal RNA is filed under the name Amphilophus citrinellus (Midas cichlid). Lineage: Eukaryota; Metazoa; Chordata; Actinopteri; Cichliformes; Cichlidae. The record is from RNAcentral.